CUCUGCCUUGUGCUGGAUCAGGGAGCAGCUCAGAGACCAGAGGGGAUUUUUUGGCUCCUAAGGGCUGGCAGGGAUGAUCUGUGUGCUGAGCCCCCUCCCAAGGGCCAGGAGGAUUUGGGUGCUGGAAUUGUCCCCACUGAGCCUGGGAGAGAAGAGGAGCAUCCAUGACAAUCCCUUGUCUCCCAGAUUUACACUCUGAUCUUUUUGCUUUGAAAGGGUCUGUCCCGGUGGAUUUGCCCCCUCAGCCCCAGGCUGUUUCCCCAGGAGCCCUCCCAGCAGAGGAGGCAGAGCAGAGCAUCCCCAGCAGGAUGGACUGGGCUCAGUAGCCAUGGAAACGCCGGCCCGGCCCCGG
This is a long non-coding RNA of Catharus ustulatus (Swainson's thrush), 352 nucleotides long. RefSeq lists it as uncharacterized. NCBI's taxonomy places the organism in Eukaryota, Metazoa, Chordata, Aves, Passeriformes, Turdidae. The record is from RefSeq and is a predicted model, not a curated record. The transcript has 3 exons.